UACGUAGGGCGCAAGCGUUGUCCGGAAUUAUUGGGCGUAAAGAGCUCGUAGGCGGCCUGUUGCGUCCGCUGUGAAAUCCCGGGGCUCAACCCCGGGCCUGCAGUGGAUACGGGCUGGCUGGAGGCAGGCAGGGGAGAACGGAAUUCCUGGUGUAGCGGUGAAAUGCGCAGAUAUCAGGAGGAACACCGGUGGCGAAGGCGGUUCUCUGGGCCUGUUCUGACGCUGAGGAGCGAAAGCGUGGGAGCGAACAGG
This 252-nucleotide ribosomal RNA is filed under the name uncultured bacterium. RNAcentral describes it as "partial 16S ribosomal RNA". It matches the Rfam family "Bacterial small subunit ribosomal RNA", at positions 524 to 776 of the family's 1533-position model. The record is from RNAcentral.